GACAGAGGGUGCAAACGUUGUUCGGAAUUACUGGGCGUAAAGCGCGUGUAGGCGGUCUCGCAAGUCGGAUGUGAAAGCCCAGGGCUCAACCCUGGAAGUGCACUCGAUACUGCGAGGCUAGAGUCCCGGAGAGGAUGGUGGAACUCUCGGUGUAGAGGUGAAAUUCGUAGAUAUCGAGAAGAACACCGGUGGCGAAGGCGGCUUACUGGUCCGGAACUGACGCUGAGGUGCGAAAGCGUGGGGAGCAAACAGG
This 253-nucleotide ribosomal RNA is filed under the name uncultured bacterium. Its description in RNAcentral is "partial 16S ribosomal RNA". It matches the Rfam family "Bacterial small subunit ribosomal RNA", at positions 524 to 776 of the family's 1533-position model. The record is from RNAcentral.